AUACGUAGGGAGCGAGCGUUGUCCGGAAUUACUGGGUGUAAAGGGAGCGUAGGCGGGACGGCAAGUCAGAUGUGAAAUACAUGGGCUCAACCCAUGGGCUGCAUUUGAAACUGCUGUUCUUGAGUGAAGUAGAGGUAAGCGGAAUUCCUGGUGUAGCGGUGAAAUGCGUAGAUAUCAGGAGGAACACCGGUGGCGAAGGCGGCUUACUGGGCUUUUACUGACGCUGAGGCUCGAAAGCGUGGGGAGCAAACAGGAUUAGAUACCCUGGUAGUCCACGCUGUAAACGAUGAUCACUAGGUGUGGGGGGACUGACCCCUUCCGCGCCGCAGUUAACACAAUAAGUGAUCCACCUGGGGAGUACGGUCGCAAGGUUGAAACUCAAAUGAAUUGACGGGG
This 396-nucleotide ribosomal RNA is filed under the name uncultured bacterium. RNAcentral describes it as "partial 16S ribosomal RNA". It matches the Rfam family "Bacterial small subunit ribosomal RNA", at positions 523 to 918 of the family's 1533-position model. The record is from RNAcentral.